CAGCAGCCGCGGGAAAACGUAGGGUGCAAGCGUUAAUCGGAAUUACUGGGCGUAAAGCGUGCGCAGGCGGUUAUAUAAGUCAGAUGUGAAAUCCCCGGGCUCAACCUGGGAACUGCAUUUGUGACUGCAAGGCUAGAGUGCGGCAGAGGGAGAUGGAAUUCCGCGUGUAGCAGUGAAAUGCGUAGAUAUGCGGAGGAACACCGAUGGCGAAGGCAAUCUCCUGGGCCUGCACUGACGCUCAUGCACGAAAGCGUGGGGAGCAAACAGGAUUAGAGACCCCUGUAGUCCCUGUCUCUUAUAC
RNAcentral lists this ribosomal RNA (301 nucleotides) under uncultured bacterium. RNAcentral describes it as "partial 16S ribosomal RNA". It matches the Rfam family "Bacterial small subunit ribosomal RNA", at positions 509 to 807 of the family's 1533-position model. The record is from RNAcentral.